RNAcentral lists this ribosomal RNA (320 nucleotides) under uncultured bacterium. RNAcentral describes it as "bacterial SSU rRNA". It matches the Rfam family "Bacterial small subunit ribosomal RNA", at positions 30 to 351 of the family's 1533-position model. The record is from RNAcentral.
AUUGAACGCUGGCGGCAUGCUUUACACAUGCAAGUCGAACGGCAGCACGGGUGCUUGCACCUGGUGGCGAGUGGCGAACGGGUGAGUAAUGCAUCGGAACGUGCCCAUGAGUGGGGGAUAGCCCGGCGAAAGCCGGAUUAAUACCGCAUACGCCCUUAGGGGGAAAGCGGGGGAGUCUUCGGACCUCGCGCUAUUGGAGCGGCCGAUGUCGGAUUAGCUAGUAGGUGAGGUAAAGGCUCACCAAGGCGACGAUCUGUAGCGGGUCUGAGAGGAUGAUCCGCCACACUGGAACUGAGACAGGAUCAAACUCGUCUAGCAUG